CAGCUGUGUGGCAAGCACAAAGCGAACUAUUCUUUCGCCUUUUACUAAAGAAUACCGUGUGCUUGCCACAAUUACAGCAUACAUUUAUUUUUGGAGGUGUUGUCUCUUGUUGAGAGAGC
Molecule: non-coding RNA, 119 nt
Organism: Zea mays
Lineage: Eukaryota; Viridiplantae; Streptophyta; Magnoliopsida; Poales; Poaceae
Source: Rfam